This 90-nucleotide transfer RNA is filed under the name Candidatus Omnitrophota bacterium. RNAcentral describes it as "tRNA-Ser". It matches the Rfam family "tRNA". Rfam says of the family: Transfer RNA (tRNA) molecules are approximately 80 nucleotides in length. Their secondary structure includes four short double-helical elements and three loops (D, anti-codon, and T loops). RNAcentral also lists the same sequence under 1 other name. Lineage: Bacteria; Pseudomonadati; Candidatus Omnitrophota. The record is from RNAcentral.
GGAGGAAUGCGUGAGUGGUUUAAACGGGCGGUCUUGAAAACCGUUGUUCUCGCAAGAGAACCGUGGGUUCGAAUCCUACUUCCUCCGCCA